GACGAACACUGGCGGCGUGCUUAACACAUGCAAGUCGAACGGAAAGGCCCUGCUUUUGUGGGGUGCUCGAGUGGCGAACGGGUGAGUAACACGUGAGUAACCUGCCCUUGACUUUGGGAUAACUUCAGGAAACUGGGGCUAAUAUCGGAUAGGAGCUCUUGCAGCACGGUGGGGGAUGGAAAGUUUCGGCGGUUGGGGAUGGACUCGCGGCUUAUCAGCUUGUUGGUGGGGUAGUGGCUUACCAAGGCUUUGACGGGUAGCCGGCCUGAGAGGGUGACCGGCCACAUUGGGCCUGAGAUACGGCCCAGACUCCUACGGGAGGCAACAGUGGGAAAUAUUGCACAAUGGGCGGAAGCCUGAUGCAGCAACGCCGCGUGCGGGAUGACGGCCUUCGGGUUAUAAACCGCUUUCGCCUGUGACGAGGCGUGAGUGACGGUAAUGGGUAAAGAAGCACCGGCUAACUACGUG
This 468-nucleotide ribosomal RNA is filed under the name uncultured bacterium. Its description in RNAcentral is "partial 16S ribosomal RNA". It matches the Rfam family "Bacterial small subunit ribosomal RNA", at positions 28 to 507 of the family's 1533-position model. The record is from RNAcentral.